CCUACGGGUGGCAGCAGUGAGGAAUAUUGGUCAAUGGACGAGAGUCUGAACCAGCCAAGUAGCGUGAAGGAUGACUGCCCUAUGGGUUGUAAACUUCUUUUAUAUGGGAAUAAAAUGUUCCACGUGUGGGAUUUUGUAUGUACCAUAUGAAUAAGGAUCGGCGAACUCCGUGCCAGCAGCCGCGGUAAUACGGAGGAUCCGAGCGUUAUCCGGAUUUAUUGGGUUUAAAGGGAUCGUAGGUCGAUUGUUAAGUCAGUCGUGAAAUUUUGAGGCUCAACCGUAAAAUUGAAGUUGAAACUGGCAGUCUUGAGUAGAGGAGAGGUGUGCGGAAUGCGUGGUGUAGCGGUGAAAUGCUUAGAUAUCACGAAGAACUCCGAUUGCGAAGGCAGCAUACUGGAGUGCAACUGACGCUGAGGCUCGAAAGUGUGGGUAUCAAACAGGAUUAGAUACCCGAGUAGUG
RNAcentral lists this ribosomal RNA (460 nucleotides) under uncultured bacterium. RNAcentral's name for it is "partial 16S ribosomal RNA". It matches the Rfam family "Bacterial small subunit ribosomal RNA", at positions 338 to 795 of the family's 1533-position model. The record is from RNAcentral.